UGUAUAUUUUUUUUUAGUGAGGUAUAACAUAUAUCAUGUUAUGUUAGUUCUAGGUGUACAUUGUGUAUAUUGUGAAAUGAUCACCAUAAGAGGUCUAGUUAACAUCCGUCACUAUGCAUAGUUACAGAAUUAUUUUUUCUUAUGACGAACUUUUAAGAUCUGUUAUUAUUUUUAUCAACUGUAGUUGCCAUGCUGUGCAUUACAUCCCUCUUUUGCCCACUUCCUACCUCUGGCAACCACCUGAAAUGCCUUUUAAUAUCAGUAAAAGAAAGUACCUGCUUACGUCAGUUAAAGCUGGAGUGCGUUACUAGAAACCGAAAUGGUAACUCAAACAGUUGUACAAAGAGUCAUUCUAGUACUUUCCCAGAGGAGAUCCAUUCCCAUAAUCAUUUAUUAUUUACUAUCAGAUAUUUAUUUGUUUUUUUAAGUAAGAACACACAUAAUAAACAAGAUUUAAUGAACUCAGUUUGUGCUGUCACGUGGGAGACCUUGAAUAUGACAGGUUUGGCAGGUUUGGGAGGGAAGGUCUAAUUACUGGUGAGAGGAAGGGCGAAAGGAAGCCUGUUGAGGAAAACAUGAGAAUAUCUUCAUGAUCUUGUAGUAGAAGAGAUUUUUUUGAAAUGACACAAGCAUUAACUGGUAAAGGAAAAAUGGAUCAAUUGGAUUUCAUUAAAAUGAAGACAUUUAUCAGAAGACAUCAUUACAGUGAAAGGCAAGCUGAAGUCUGAGAGAAGACACAUAACUUGGAUAAAGUUCCCCCCCAAUUGUUAAAGCCAGUAACAUUUCACCAAGUGUCAAUUAAAAUUUUCCUAUUGAUGAUAUUCUUUGUCAGAAUCCUUUUGGUGAGGUUUCUCUUGGGUACUUGACAUUUCUAGUUGUUAUUAGGCAGGGAAGAUAAUCUUGUUGUUUUUUAAGAUUUUAUUUAUUUGACAGAGGGAGCAGCAGGCAGAGGGAGAGGGAGAAGCAGGCUGUUCGGUGAGCAGGGAGGCCCAUGCACUGGGCUUGACCCCAGGACCCCGGGAUCAUGACCUGAGCCGAAGGCAGAUGCUUAACUGAAUGAGCCACCCAGGCACCCCGUGGGGCAGAUAAUGUUUGUGGCAAUGUUUGCCUUGUUCUGUUUGAUCUCCUAAAAUUUUUAUCUGCCUCUUCUAAUGGAUGUGGAUUGGGGAGGAGGUAAGCUUGUACAUCCAGCACAUUUCCCUUUGUCAGUUCUCAGGGUUGAUUGGGAUCCAAAAGUGGCAUUUCCAGGCUGCAGGUAUGUUACAGAUCUUUUCACGGAUAUAGAUCAGCAACGGUGGUAUUGGGGCACCUGGCUAGGCUUGGUCGGAAAAGCAUGCAACUCUGUUCUCAGGCUUCUAAGUUUGAGCUCCAUGUUGGGAGUAGAGAUUACUUAAAAAAAAAAAAAAA
Molecule: long non-coding RNA, 1407 nt
Organism: Ailuropoda melanoleuca (giant panda)
Lineage: Eukaryota; Metazoa; Chordata; Mammalia; Carnivora; Ursidae
Exons: 2
Source: RefSeq, a predicted model, not a curated record